GGAGGUUGCUGCUUUAGGUCGGGUAUUGUGGGGAAUGCCUGUCGGCAUGGGCUAGGUUGCAGCUCUCUUCAUCUUCUCUAUCUCUCUUUUUUUCUAAUGAAAUUUCUUGCUCAUAAAAAAAUUAAGAAAAUCUAAUCCUUUGAUGGCUGUAGUAGAUGCCAUUUGUGUUGAUGCAAGUCAAUUACCAAUUAAUUUGGUUUUGUCUAUGUGCCUGUUUCAUUGAGCUGUUGAGGUGCUGGUGUAUGUCAAUUACCAAUUUAAUAUGUUUGGUGGUUUCUACAACUAAUAUUGGAUUCCUAAACCAACACCUAAUUACAAUGGCUAAACCAAACUCGUUCCUAAAUUUUGCAGCUGUAUAUCACAAUGCAUCCAAAGCUGAAGAGUGUGGGAAUCCUUGAGACAAUGUAUGGGAUCGACCUUCAUCAUUAUGAGCGGUGCUUUUCAUAACAGCUGUGCUUUUCAUAACAUACCAGAAAGUCCCUUCCUGAAUAAUUUCUGUAAUUGCCUCCCUGUCAUCAGUUUUAAUGAACCUUCCUCAGUCACCCUAAUAAGGUCAAUUUGCUUCCCUUCCUUUUGAAAUGAAACUUUUAGGUUUUGAAAAUUGAAAGUGAUUGGACUAUAAGACCUCAUCCAAUCCACUCCAAGUAACCACCCAAAUCCAACAAUCUUAUGUUGAAAAAGAAGGAAUGACCCUGCAUAUUCCACUAAAACCCAACACACUUGAAUCUACUAACCAUCUUGUGACCAUUUGCUACUGUCACAGAAAGUGGAGGGGCUUUUACCAUCCUACAUCCCAACUCUUUAGCAAUUUUAUAAUCCAGGAAACUAUGUGUGCUUCCACUGUCAAUUAAUAUGACAAUUGACUGCUUGUCUAUCUUCCCUCUAAUCUUCAAUGUAUUUGGAGAAAUACUGCCAUCUAAGGCAUGCAUGGAGAUCUCAACCUCCUCUCCCUCACCUUCAUAGUCCUCCUCUCCCCCCAUAUUCCCCACUUCUUCCAAUCCCUCUUCAUCAGCCUGCAAUGCUAAUAUUUGUUGAGUCAUACAUUGAUGACCAGGGUAAUACCUGUCUCCACAUUUAAAACAACUAUUAUUACCCUUUUUCAAGUCAGAGUUAAUAAACUUUGAGGUUGGUUUCUCCAAUUCAGCAACAGAGAUUGGUUUAGAGAAAGAAGAACUUGGGUUUGCAGUAGAGAAAUUAGGUUUAGAUGUGGGAUUGGCAUUUCUAAACUGAGCAUUUCUUGUGUUGUAGGAAUUGAAGUAUGGCCUAAUAUAUGGCUUUUGUUUUCUCAAAAUAGCCUCAAUGGAUUGCUCUUGCAAUUUUGCUUGUUCAAAGGCUUGCAACAAUGAUUCAGGUCUAAACAUUUUAAUUACAGGUCUCAAUUCCUCACUCAACCCACUGAUGAAACUAGAGAUAAAAUAAGGUUCGGAUAGACCUGGAUUAUACUUCAACAUUAAAGCCUUAAGCUCCUCAAACUUCUCCUGAUAAUCCAAUACUGAACCUUCUUGAUUUAACUUGUUAAACUCCUCAACUACAUCAGUUACAGUCAACUCCCCAAAUCUCUUGCAUAACUCUUCUGCAAAUUCACUCCAAGAUGCAGUUGGUCUACUGACUUGCUAACCUUGGAACCAAAUGUCAGCUUUUUCCCCCAAAAAUAAAGAAGCUACUUCCACUUUUUGUUCCUCACUCACAUCAUAAACUUGGAAAUAUUUCUGGCAUUUUCUUACCUAUCCUCUCGGAUUACUACCAUAAAAUUGGGGAACAUCUACCUUCAAUUUCAUCGCAGAAUUCCUCAAAUUACAAGAACUCUUAUGCCCCUGAGAACUAUUACCAGAAUCCCCAUUUUCUUUCCCCUUCGGCAGCGGCAAAAUACCCCUUCCUUCAUUACUAUUUGCUCCAAUUUCAAUAGGAUUGACCCUAGUUCCAUUCACAUUAGAUUGAGUUUCAGGGACCACAGGCUCCUUACCUUUCCCUUGCGACGGCUUCAUCAAUUCCAUCAUUUGACUCAUCAUCUCCUCCAUUCUAUGGCUCAUCAUUUCUUCCAUUCUAUGCAGCCCUGCACUCAAAUCUUGGAUUUUCUGAUUCUGUGAUUGCAUUUGCUCCUCUAGAUUCUGCAAUUUAGGUUUUUUCGAUCGCCAUAUUCUGCAUAGCCUUCCUCGCCAGCUUUAUCAACUCAGCUAUAGUGGAAUCUUGAGAGACCUCAGAAUCUUGAUGCUUUGAUACCAAAAU
RNAcentral lists this unclassified non-coding RNA (2226 nucleotides) under Hevea brasiliensis (rubber tree). The record is from RNAcentral. Lineage: Eukaryota; Viridiplantae; Streptophyta; Magnoliopsida; Malpighiales; Euphorbiaceae.